This 217-nucleotide long non-coding RNA is filed under the name Mytilus galloprovincialis (Mediterranean mussel). The record is from RNAcentral. Lineage: Eukaryota; Metazoa; Mollusca; Bivalvia; Mytilida; Mytilidae.
GUACGAAACAGAAGAAAAGGUACGCUCAAAUGUUUAGUAAAAUGGAUAAUAACAAAUGUUAACCCCAACAUUCUUGAUUUAACUGAAAUUAUGAAUAUUGUUUGUGUACUUGAAGUGCUUGAAAUUGGCAAAUUGCUGAUUCAAAAAAUUGAAAAUAAACUUUUAGAUGUCGACGUAAUCAUGAUUGCUGCAAUACAGAAGUAUUGGGAGGGGGAGC